CCCAAAACAACACAUAGCAGUUUUUUGAUAAUUCAUUACUCAUUAUGGCUAUUGUAUGUUUCCUUCAAAAGCCAUUCCUUCUUUCCAUUCUUUUACUUGUCUUUCUGUUCAACUUCUGCCACUGCUUCCACCCCAAGUCCCUCAAUUUUUCAAAGACACAAUCUGAUUCUGAUUGGGCACCCGCUGGGGCAACAUGGUAUGGUAGUCCCACCGGUGCUGGAAGUGACGG
RNAcentral lists this unclassified non-coding RNA (229 nucleotides) under Hevea brasiliensis (rubber tree). Lineage: Eukaryota; Viridiplantae; Streptophyta; Magnoliopsida; Malpighiales; Euphorbiaceae. The record is from RNAcentral.